This 253-nucleotide ribosomal RNA is filed under the name uncultured bacterium. RNAcentral's name for it is "partial 16S ribosomal RNA". It matches the Rfam family "Bacterial small subunit ribosomal RNA", at positions 524 to 776 of the family's 1533-position model. The record is from RNAcentral.
UACGAAGGGGGCUAGCGUUGUUCGGAAUUACUGGGCGUAAAGCGCACGUAGGCGGACAUUUAAGUCAGGGGUGAAAUCCCAGAGCUCAACUCUGGAACUGCCUUUGAUACUGGGUGUCUUGAGUAUGGAAGAGGUGAGUGGAAUUCCGAGUGUAGAGGUGAAAUUCGUAGAUAUUCGGAGGAACACCAGUGGCGAAGGCGGCUCACUGGUCCAUUACUGACGCUGAGGUGCGAAAGCAUGGGGAGCAAACAGG